ACUGGGAGUAACAAGAGGGAAACGUUCUGAUAAUACUGGAUAAGUUAGUAUAUCGCAUGAUAUGCAAAUGAAAGCUACGGCACUAAAGGAGAGCUUUGCGUCCUAUUAGCUAGUUGGUAAGGUAAGAGCUUACCAAGGCGAUGAUAGGUAGCCGGCCUGAGAGGGUGGACGGCCACAAGGGGACUGAGAUACGGCCCUUACUCCUACGGGAGGCAGCAGCC
Molecule: ribosomal RNA, 221 nt
Filed under: uncultured Leptotrichia sp.
Lineage: Bacteria; Fusobacteriati; Fusobacteriota; Fusobacteriia; Fusobacteriales; Leptotrichiaceae
Description: partial 16S ribosomal RNA
Rfam family: Bacterial small subunit ribosomal RNA
Source: RNAcentral